UACGAAGGUCCCAAGCGUUAUCCGGAUUUAUUGGGUUUAAAGGGUGCGUAGGCGGGCUAUUAAGUCAGUGGUGAAAGCCCCAAGCUUAACUUGGGAACUGCCAUUGAUACUGAUGGUCUUGAAUACUUUGGAGGUAAGCGGAAUAUGUCAUGUAGCGGUGAAAUGCUUAGAUAUGACAUAGAACACCAAUUGCGAAGGCAGCUUACUACACAGUAAUUGACACUGAGGCACGAAAGCGUGGGGAUCAAACAGG
This 253-nucleotide ribosomal RNA is filed under the name uncultured bacterium. RNAcentral describes it as "partial 16S ribosomal RNA". It matches the Rfam family "Bacterial small subunit ribosomal RNA", at positions 524 to 776 of the family's 1533-position model. The record is from RNAcentral.